UAAGUGCUCUCUUUUUGGGUGA
This 22-nucleotide microRNA is filed under the name Sarcophilus harrisii (Tasmanian devil). RNAcentral describes it as "Sha-Mir-430-o10_3p (mature (co-guide))". The record is from RNAcentral. Lineage: Eukaryota; Metazoa; Chordata; Mammalia; Dasyuromorphia; Dasyuridae.